AUUGAACGCUGGCGGCAUGCUUUACACAUGCAAGUCGAACGGUAACAGGCCGCAAUUUGCUGACUAGUGGCGAACGGGUGAGUAAUGCAUCGGAACGUGCCCAGUCGUGGGGGGUAACUACUCGAAAGAGUAGCUAAUACCUCAUACGAUCUAUUAAUGAAAGCGGGAGACCUUAAUGCCUCGCGCGAUUUUAGCGGCCGAUGUCAGAUUAGGUAGUUGGGGGGGUAAAGGCUCACCAAGCCAAGGAUCUGUAGCUGGUCUGAGAGGACGAACCGCCACACUGGGACUGAGGAACGGCCCAGACUCCUAAGGGAGGCAGCCGUGGGGAAUUCUGCACAAUGGGGGCAAGCCUGAUCCAGCAAUGGCGCGUGCAGGAAGAAGGCUUUCGGGUUGUAAAAUGCCUUUGUACGGAAAGAAACGGAUCUGGUUAAUACCCGGGGCUAAUGACGGUACCGUAAGCAUAAGCCCCGGCUAAAUUCGUG
Molecule: ribosomal RNA, 482 nt
Filed under: uncultured bacterium
Lineage: Bacteria
Description: partial 16S ribosomal RNA
Rfam family: Bacterial small subunit ribosomal RNA
Source: RNAcentral